RNAcentral lists this ribosomal RNA (902 nucleotides) under uncultured bacterium. RNAcentral's name for it is "bacterial SSU rRNA". It matches the Rfam family "Bacterial small subunit ribosomal RNA", at positions 8 to 916 of the family's 1533-position model. The record is from RNAcentral.
AGAGUUUGAUCCUGGCUCAGGGUGAACGUUAGUAGUGCGCAUAACACAUGCAAGUCGAGCGGAAAAUAAUAGCAAUAUUGUUUUUAGCGGCGAACGGGUGAGUAAUAUUUAUCUGACUUACCGAUUAGUGGGGGAUAACUGUGGGAAACUGCAGCUAAUACCGCAUAUGUUGUGUAUUCAUUUAUACAAUGAAAGGGAGUUUUAAAAACUCUCGCUGUUCGAUAGGGAUAGAUCGUAUUAGCUAGUUGGUGGGGUAAUAGCCUACCAAGGUAAUGAUGCGUAGCCAGUCCGAGAGGAUGUCUGGCCACAAGGGAAUUGAGAUACGGUCCCUACUCCUUCGGGAGGCAGCAGUGGGGAAUAUUCGUAAUGGGGGAAACCCUGAACGAGCGACACUACGUGAAGGAAGAAGGUCUGCGGAUUGUAAACUUCUGUUAGCGCGGAAGAAGAGGAAACUUUGACGGUACGCGCAGAGAAAGUGACGACUAACUAUGUGCCAGCAGUCGCGGUAAGACAUAGGUCACAAACGUUACCCGGUGUUAUUGGGCGUAAAGGGUGCGUAGAUUGUUUAAUAAGUUAUUGGUGGAAACAGGGCCUAACCUUGUAGAAGCUGAUAAUACUGUUAGACUAGAGAAAAGGAGAGGUCAACGGAACUAUACAUGUAGAGGUAAAAUUCAUAGAUAUGUAUAAGAACACCAAAAAGGCGAAGGCAGUUGACUAUUCUUAUUCUGACGUUGGGGCACGAAAGCGUGGGGGAGCCAAACGGAUUAGAUACCCGUGCAGUCCACGCCCUAAACGAUGAGUACUAGAUGUUGGGGUUUUAAACUCAGUGUCGCAAGUUAACACGUUAAGUACUCCGCCUGGGGUAGUACGCUCGCAAGAGUGAAACUCAAGGAAUUUGACGG